GGGAGAGAGGAGAGAGAAAGGGGAGAGAGGAGAGAGAAUGAGGGUAGGAGGAGUAAAAGUGCCCUGUAAGCAACCAUAAGCAACCCAAAAGUUGCUUAUUUGCUUAUGCAUAAGCAACUUAUAAGCAAGUCUAUAAGCAAGAGUGUUUGGGUUAUAAGCAACUUAUUUGCUUAUUUUUAAGUUGCUUAUGAAUAAGCAACUAUAACCAAACGGGCCCUUACUUUUAUUUUGCCGUUGAAAAUCGGAUUGAUGCUUCUAGAAGGACAUCUAGCGCUAGCUCCAGGUAUGUG
Molecule: long non-coding RNA, 290 nt
Filed under: Setaria viridis
Lineage: Eukaryota; Viridiplantae; Streptophyta; Magnoliopsida; Poales; Poaceae
Description: long non-coding RNA (SVIR_LNC008916)
Source: RNAcentral